RNAcentral lists this ribosomal RNA (442 nucleotides) under uncultured bacterium. RNAcentral's name for it is "partial 16S ribosomal RNA". It matches the Rfam family "Bacterial small subunit ribosomal RNA", at positions 338 to 795 of the family's 1533-position model. The record is from RNAcentral.
CCUACGGGUGGCUGCAGUGGGGAAUAUUGGGCAAUGGGCGCAAGCCUGACCCAGCAACGCCGCGUGAAGGAAGAAGGCUUUCGGGUUGUAAACUUCUUUUAAGAGGGAAGAGCAGAAGACGGUACCUCUUGAAUAAGCCACGGCUAACUACGUGCCAGCAGCCGCGGUAAUACGUAGGUGGCAAGCGUUGUCCGGAUUUACUGGGUGUAAAGGGCGUGCAGCCGGGAAGACAAGUCAGAUGUGAAAUCCCGCGGCUCAACCGCGGAACUGCAUUUGAAACUGUUUUUCUUGAGUAUCGGAGAGGCAGGCGGAAUUCCUAGGGUAGCGGUGAAAUGCGUAGAUAUUAGGAGGAACACCAGUGGCGAAGGCGGCCUGCUGGACGACAACUGACGGUGAGGCGCGAAAGCGUGGGGAGCAAACAGGAUUAGAUACCCGGGUAGUC